AAGAAGAUAGAUGCUUCUUAAUCAAAAACAGAGAUUCAUUAGGAAGCAAAGUAAUGUAUCCCUUUUUUCUCUCUUUCUUUAUGCUUUUACUGUCUCUCUCGCUCUUGUAAUCAGUUAUUUUUGGAAUUGCGAUCAGGCGAUGAAGCAAAAACGCACAUAAAUUCAAUUCUGUAAAACGGGGAUGAAACUAGUUACGCGAUUGGUUAAAUUACGCAACUUUUGUCAACAGUAUAAAUUAAGUUGAUAAAGUUGUUCAAGGUAUGUCUUGAAGUAGAUGCCACGUCGCCAUUUUAUUAUUUUGUUUUUUAUUACGUGUUUUUGUUUUAUUUUAUGUUUCAUUUAUUUAAUACGAGUGUUUAAUUCUUUUUUUAUUCACACAAAGGAAUAGAUAAGGACUAAGUACUUAAAAUUUUUCGCGUAACAGAUGAAUUUUGUGCAUCUACAUUGCAUCUUGUCUUGAAAGGCAAACCACGCCAGACAACCAUUUUAAAAUUUGCUUUUUUAUGUGUUUUUAUUCAAUUUCAUUAUAUAUUUACUUCAUACAAUAAUUGUUAAAUCGUUAUUUCUCUAUUUUUACAGAUUGAAGAUAAACAAGUGUAGAGAUAGAAGUUCAUUUUGGUGCUGCUGAAAUAACAUACCUGGUCUCUCUUAUGGUGUUUUAUCUGUUAACUUUUCAUCUUGGAGGCUUUUGUAGUUGAUUAAUUAAGAAACGUUUGAAGGACUCCAGAUGCCAUUAAAUUAUAGAGCAUUGGCUGUGUUAGUCGAUAAUUGCUCCAGAACGUAGCCGUACCUAUGGCCCUAAAAAAAGCAUGAAAAUGCCAUUUUUCUAUUGAGAAUGGAGCUGUUGCUGAAAAAAGGAUUUAUGACAAUGAACUGAUGGUUCAUUAAAUGAGAAGGAAUUAAUUUUGGUGCCACUCAAACAAUCGACGCUUUUGAUGUCUUCACCUUGCAACAUUAUGUAGUUAAUUUUGGCCCUGAGAAUGGGAGGUAAUUGGAAAUUAUUUACGUGAGAGCCACUCAAACAACAAAUCAUCCCUUCUAGAUUUCGUUUGCUCAUCAUACUGGUAGACUUUAGAACGCUACUUUCUAUAGUUAAUUAAGAUUGAAGGUGAACAAGUAUGGAGAUUGAAGUUCAUUUUGGUGCUGCUGAAAUAACAUGCCCAGUCCCUCUUAUGGUGUUUUAUCUGUUAACUUUUCAUCUUGGAGGCUUUUGUAGUUGAUUAAUUAAGAUGGUUCAACAAAUGAGAAGGAAUUAAUUUUGGUGCCACUGAAACAAUCGACGCUUUUGAUGUCUUCACCUUGCAACAUCAAGUACUUAAUUUUGGCGUUGUGAAUGGGAGGUAAUUGAGAGCCACUCAAACGACAAAUCAUCUCUUCUAGAUUUGGUUUGCUCAUCAUACUGGUAGAUUUUAUAACGGUACUUUCUACAGUUAAUUAAGGUGAGAAUACAUUACAUAAUUAAUAUUAAUUCUCUUUAUUAAUAUGUAAUGGCAUUUCUUUUAACAAUUGUCUAUUGUCUACAGUAUAAACUGAGGUUAUGGCGUAUCUAUAAUAUUUAAAAUACUUGUUGUUCUCAGAAUCUAUGGAAUUCCGUUUAACAUUUAUCUAUUGUACACAGCCUAAAUUGACUUUAUCGUGGCACCUAUGGUAUUUUAAUAAUAUCUAUUGUCUACAUCAAAAAUUGACAUCGCGUCUGUCGAAUGUGACCUGUCUUAAUGUGAACUUGACGUUUGUCGCCAUUUUAUAAUUCAGGUGUUUUACUUGCUUUUUGGUGCGUGUUUUUAAGUGUGUUUAAUCCCAUCCUUAAGUAAUAGUGUAAUUAAUAUGUUUUUUUGUCCAUUUCUGCAGAUCGUUCAUCAAUUGAGUUCAGUUUGGUCACACUGAAACAUGAAAUGUUCUAUAUGGGUGUGGUCAUUGG
Long non-coding RNA from Agrilus planipennis (emerald ash borer), 1918 nucleotides. RefSeq lists it as uncharacterized. The record is from RefSeq and is a predicted model, not a curated record. The transcript has 5 exons. NCBI's taxonomy places the organism in Eukaryota, Metazoa, Arthropoda, Insecta, Coleoptera, Buprestidae.